AGAACGAACGCUGGCGGCAGGCUUAACACAUGCAAGUCGAACGCCCCGCAAGGGGAGUGGCAGACGGGUGAGUAACGCGUGGGAACCUACCCAAUUCUACGGAACAACUGAGGGAAACUUCAGCUAAUACCGUAUACGCCCUACGGGGGAAAGAUUUAUCGGAGUUGGAUGGGCCCGCGUUGGAUUAGCUAGUUGGUGAGGUAACGGCUCACCAAGGCGACGAUCCAUAGCUGGUCUGAGAGGAUGAUCAGCCACACUGGGACUGAGACACGGCCCAGACUCCGUACGGGAGGCAGCAGGUGGGGAAUAGUGGACAAGUGGGCGACAAGCCUAGACUCCAGCCAUCGGCCGCGUGAGUGAGUGAA
This 365-nucleotide ribosomal RNA is filed under the name uncultured soil bacterium. RNAcentral describes it as "bacterial SSU rRNA". It matches the Rfam family "Bacterial small subunit ribosomal RNA", at positions 26 to 413 of the family's 1533-position model. The record is from RNAcentral.